This 209-nucleotide ribosomal RNA is filed under the name uncultured bacterium. RNAcentral describes it as "partial 16S ribosomal RNA". It matches the Rfam family "Bacterial small subunit ribosomal RNA", at positions 524 to 732 of the family's 1533-position model. The record is from RNAcentral.
UACGUAGGGUGCGAGCGUUAAUCGGAAUUACUGGGCGUAAAGUGUGCGCAGGCGGCUCCGCAAGUCGAGUGUGAAAGCCCCGAGCUUAACUUGGGAAUUGCGCUCGAAACUACGGAGCUGGAGUGUGGCAGAGGAAGGUGGAAUUCCACGUGUAGCGGUGAAAUGCGUAGAUAUGCGGAGGAACACCGAUGGCGAAGGCAACCUCCCGU